ACUCCUACGGGUGGCUGCAGUGAGGAAUAUUGCACAAUGGGGGAAACCCUGAUGCAGCAACGCCGCGUGGAGGAUGACGGCCUUAUAGGUUGUAAACUCCUUUUCUGAGGGAAGAGAAAGGACGGUACCUCAGGAAUAAGUCACGGCUAACUACGUGCCAGCAGCCGCGGUAAUACGUAGGUGACGAACGUUAUCCGGAAUUACUGGGCGUAAAGGGCACGCAGGCGGUUGGUCAAGUCCGACGUGAAAUUUCUCGGCUUAACUGGGAGGCGUCGUUUGGAAACUAACUAACUUGAGGCAAUGAGAGGGGUGUAGAAUUCAUGGUGUAGUGGUGGAAUGCGUAGAUAUCAUGAGGAAUACCAGUGGCGAAAGCGGCACCCUGGCAUUGGCCUGACGCUCAUGUGCGAAAGCGUGGGUAGCGAACGGGAUUAGAUACCCCGGUAGUCCACGCUGUAAACGAUGAACACUAGGUGUAGGUGAAUUAAAUUUAUCUGUGCCGUAGCAAACGCGAUAAGUGUUCCGCCUGGGGACUACGGCCGCAAGGCUAAAACUCAAAGGAAUUGACGGGGACCCGCACAAGCAGCGGAGCGUGUGGUUUAAUUCGAUGCAACGCGAAGAACCUUACCUGGGCUUGACAUAAGCGUAGUAGUGAACCGAAAGGGGAACGAGCCUCGGCAGCGCUUACAGGUGCUGCAUGGCUGUCGUCAGCUCGUGUCGUGAGAU
RNAcentral lists this ribosomal RNA (723 nucleotides) under uncultured bacterium. RNAcentral's name for it is "bacterial SSU rRNA". It matches the Rfam family "Bacterial small subunit ribosomal RNA", at positions 335 to 1073 of the family's 1533-position model. RNAcentral also lists the same sequence under 1 other name. The record is from RNAcentral.